RNAcentral lists this ribosomal RNA (251 nucleotides) under uncultured prokaryote. RNAcentral's name for it is "partial 16S rRNA". It matches the Rfam family "Bacterial small subunit ribosomal RNA", at positions 525 to 775 of the family's 1533-position model. The record is from RNAcentral.
ACAGAGAUGGCGAGCGUUACUCGGAUUUAUUGGGUGUAAAGGGCAGGUAGGUGUUUUGCCAAGUUGCAAGUGAAGUCCUAAGGCUUAACCUUAGAACUGCUUGCAAAACUGGCGAAAUUGAGAUCGGUAGAGGAAAGCGGAAUUCCCGGUGUAAGGGUGAAAUUUGUAGAUAUCGGGAGGAACACCAGUGGCGAAAGCGGCUUUCUGGACCGAUUCUGACGCUAAGCUGCGAAAGCUCGGGGAGCAAACAG